RNAcentral lists this ribosomal RNA (497 nucleotides) under uncultured bacterium. RNAcentral's name for it is "partial 16S ribosomal RNA". It matches the Rfam family "Bacterial small subunit ribosomal RNA", at positions 28 to 507 of the family's 1533-position model. The record is from RNAcentral.
GAUGAACGCUGGCGGCGUGCCUAAUACAUGCAAGUCGAGCGAACGGACGAGGAGCUUGCUCCUCUGACGUUAGCGGCGGACGGGUGAGUAACACGUGGAUAACCUACCUAUAAGACUGGGAUAACUUCGGGAAACCGGAGCUAAUACCGGAUAAUAUUUUGAACCGCAUGGUUCAAUAGUGAAAGACGGUUUUGCUGUCACUUAUAGAUGGAUCCGCGCCGCAUUAGCUAGUUGGUAAGGUAACGGCUUACCAAGGCAACGAUGCGUAGCCGACCUGAGAGGGUGAUCGGCCACACUGGAACUGAGACACGGUCCAGACUCCUACGGGAGGCAGCAGUAGGGAAUCUUCCGCAAUGGGCGAAAGCCUGACGGAGCAACGCCGCGUGAGUGAUGAAGGUCUUCGGAUCGUAAAACUCUGUUAUUAGGGAAGAACAUAUGUGUAAGUAACUAUGCACGUCUUGACGGUACCUAAUCAGAAAGCCACGGCUAACUACGUG